This 1931-nucleotide long non-coding RNA is filed under the name Capsella grandiflora. RNAcentral's name for it is "long non-coding RNA (CGRA_LNC000883)". Lineage: Eukaryota; Viridiplantae; Streptophyta; Magnoliopsida; Brassicales; Brassicaceae. The record is from RNAcentral.
GUACCUCCAUUCAUUGUAACUGAGAUUCUUGAUAAACGGUUUCCUGAAGUCUUGAUCUUUUAUUUAGGUGAUUAGGUUUCUCUCCCCUUGCCUAUAAACUUACUUUAUGUUUAUGUUUUGUGUUUGUGAUUUCUUGUUGGGAUGCCUUUAUGAUGUACUAAAGGCAUAUAUUUAUAGGCGGAGACAGGACCUAGUUCCUCUUUAGGGUUUCCUUAAGAUUUUCCUAAAGAUUUAAUCUCAACCGUCCAUCAAAGUAGAGAUUGAUUAGGAAAAACUCCUUCAUUAUCUAUUAAAUUAGUUACCAAAUAUAUUAAACAAUAACAUUAUUCCAUAGAAAACGGAUAACUACAAGACAACAUAAUAGAGGAAGGAAAUUAUUCCUUACAGUCUCCCACUUGGUCGUUAGUAGAAUCCAUUAAUAUUUUCUCUUAGGAAUCAUAAGACCGGGAUAAUGUGUUAUUACUAAUAUCUUUUAUCUGGUCAUCAUAAGUGUCUUGACUAAUCUAGUAAUCAAUGGGAGUCAUGGCGGUCGCAUAUCAUUCUGCACAUGAUGCCUUCCAUGUACUUCUACAUUGACUACCUUCUUAGCUAAACCAUAACAUAAGUAGGAGUUAUCAUAAUGAUCCCUUUAUUGUCUUUAAAAUAAAGACUCGUUCUGUUAUUAUAAAUCCAUCAACAAUAAUGUGUGUGCACAUUGGAAACAGAAUAUAAAAUAUGAAUAAAUCAUAAAAGAGCUCAACAUAAAUGUCAAAUAUAGGCUAAUUAAAAUAAACUACAUAAUUAGGAACUAUCAUCAAGACCCAUACUUUCAGCAUGCUUUUGGAAAGUCUUGGGAGGUAGCCCUUUUGUAAAUAUGUUUGCAACCAUAAGUUCAGUGCCGAUAUAUUCAAUGACAAUCUUUCCUCUUUUGACAUAUUGCUUUACUGAUAGGUAUUUAAUGUCCAUAUGUUUGGCUCCCUUAAAUAUCCUAUCAUGCUUAGAUAAGAAGAUUGCAGCUUCAUUGUCACAGUAAAGAGUCAAAGUCUUGUCAACAAUACUCAAAUCCCCAAACUCAGAGACAAAAGUCUGCAACCAUGCUCCUUGAAUAAAAGCCUCAUAACAUGCAACAUACUCAGCCUCCAUAGUGAAUGUGUAUAUCAGCUGUGGCUUUUGGCUUUUCCAUAAGAUGGCACCCCUAGAAAGGAGAUACACAUAGCCAAGAGUGUAGUGUUUAGGUGUUUUCGGAACUGCUUUGCUAGGAACUCUAUUCAAUAUAUAGAAUGCAGUAUGUAAUGCAUCCAUCGACAAGGAUGCUUGAUUAUCAUAAAGGUUUUAUCAUUAAGAAACCUCAUUACAAAGACCCAAAUUAUGCAUGCCCGGAUUUUGCACAUACUUUCAAAAAACCCAAAAUUUUCACAGAGAAAUCAAACAUAGAUUUAUAUAUGCAGGUCUCUAAUUCUAUCAUACUUAAUGAACUAAUCAUAUGCUUAUAACCAUACUCUGAUUCUACAUGUAAGUGCAAUUUACAUGAACCCUAAGAUCUUUUAAGCAACAUGAUUAAUCACAUGAUAAAACUGUAAAGGAGGGUUAGCGGAGUACCUCCAUUCAUUUUAAUUGAGAUUCUUGAUGAACGGUUUCCUGAAGUCUUGAUCUUUUAGUUAGGUGAUUAGGUUUCUCUCCCCUUGCCUACAAACUUACUUUAUGUGUUGUGUUUGUGAUUUCUUAUAGGGAUGCCUUUAUGAUGGACUAAAGCCAUAUAUUUAUAGGCGUAGAGAGGACCUAGUUCCUCCUUAGGGUUUCCUUAAGAUUUAAUCUCAACCCUCCAUCAAAGUAGAGAUGGAUUAGGAAAAACUCCUUCAUUAUCUAUUUAGUUAGUUACCAAAUAUAUUAAAGAAUAACAUUAUCCCAUAGAAAACCGAUAACUACAAGACCACAUAAUAGGGGAAGGAAAU